This 488-nucleotide ribosomal RNA is filed under the name uncultured bacterium. RNAcentral describes it as "partial 16S ribosomal RNA". The record is from RNAcentral.
GUAGUUAGCCGGGGCUUCCUCCUCAAGUACCGUCACUUCCUUCGUCCUUGAGGACAAAAGUUUACAAUCCGAAAACCUUCUUCCUUCACGCGGCGUUGCUGGGUCAGGCUUUCGCCCAUUGCCCAAUAUUCCCCACUGCUGCCUCCCGUAGGAGUCUGGACCGUCUCUCAGUUCCAGUGUGGCCGAUCACCCUCUCAGGUCGGCUACCCAUCGUUGCCUUGGUGGGCCUUUACCUCACCAACUAGCUAAUGGGACGCGAACUCACCCCAAACUGGAUUGCUCCUUUUACCUCAACCCCAUGCGAGGUCGUGGUCUUAUGCGGUAUUAGCACCUGUUUCCAAGUGUUAUCCCCCUGUCUGGGACAGAUUGUUCACGCGUUCCUCACCCGUCCGCCGCUAACAUCCUAGGCCGAAACCAAAGAUGUCCGCUCGACUUGCAUGUGUUAGGCACGCCGCCAGCGUUCGUCCUGAGCACGANACAACUACUGA